Molecule: ribosomal RNA, 372 nt
Filed under: uncultured organism
Description: bacterial SSU rRNA
Rfam family: Bacterial small subunit ribosomal RNA
Source: RNAcentral
CAGAGGGGGCAAGCGUUGUUCGGAAUUGCUGGGCGUAAAGGGCGCGUAGGCGGCCUGUUAAGUCGAACGUGAAAUCCCCGGGCUCAACCCGGGAACUGCGUCCGAUACCGGCAGGCUUGAAUUCGGGAGAGGGAUGCGGAAUUCCAGGUGUAGCGGUGAAAUGCGUAGAUAUCUGGAGGAACACCGGUGGCGAAGGCGGCAUCCUGGACCGAGAUUGACGCUGAGGCGCGAAAGCCAGGGGAGCAAACGGGAUUAGAUACCCCGGUAGUCCUGGCCCUAAACGAUGAAUGCUUGGUGUGGCGGGUAUCGAUCCCUGCCGUGCCGAAGCUAACGCAUUAAGCAUUCCGCCUGGGGAGUACGGUCGCAAGGCUG